GCACAAGCGGAGGAGCAUGUGGUUUAAUUCGAUGAUACGCGAGGAACCUUACCUGGGCUCGAACGUAAGAUGACUGUAGGUGAAAGCUUACAUCUCUUCGGAGCAUUUUACGAGGUGCUGCAUGGUUGUCGUCAGCUCGUGCCGUGAGGUGUCGGGUUAAGUCCCAUAACGAGCGCAACCCUACCUUUAGUUGCCAUCAGGUAAUGCUGGGGACUCUAAAGGAACUGCCUACGCAAGUAGUGAGGAAGCGGGGAUGACGUCAAAUCAGCACGGCCCUUACGUCCAGGGCUACACACGUGCUACAAUGGCCGAUACAGAGGGCAGCUACCUGGUGACAGGAUGCAAAUCUCCAAAGUCGGUCUCAGUUCGGAUCGGAGUCUGCAACCCGACUCCGUGAAGUUGGAUUCGCUAGUAAUCGCGCAUCAGCCAUGGCGCGGCGAAUACGUUCCCGGGCCUU
This 457-nucleotide ribosomal RNA is filed under the name uncultured Sphingobacteriales bacterium. RNAcentral describes it as "bacterial SSU rRNA". It matches the Rfam family "Bacterial small subunit ribosomal RNA", at positions 923 to 1382 of the family's 1533-position model. Lineage: Bacteria; Pseudomonadati; Bacteroidota; Sphingobacteriia; Sphingobacteriales. The record is from RNAcentral.